GAUGAACGCUGACAGAAUGCUUAACACAUGCAAGUCAACUUGAACUUCGGUUUGGGUGGCGGACGGGUGAGUAACGCGUAAAGAACUUGCCUCACAGAUAGGGACAACAUUUGGAAACGAAUGCUAAUACCUGAUAUUAUGAUUAUAUGGCAUCGUAUAAUUAUGAAAGCUAUAUGCGCUGUGAGAGAGCUUUGCGUCCCAUUAGCUAGUUGGAGAGGUAACGGCUCACCAAGGCGAUGAUGGGUAGCCGGCCUGAGAGGGUGAUCGGCCACAAGGGGACUGAGACACGGACCGUACUCCUACGGGAGGCAGCAGUGGGGAAUAUUGGACAAUGGACCAAGAGUCUGAUCCAGCAAUUCUGUGUGCACGAUGAAGUUUUUCGGAAUGUAAAGUGCUUUCAGUUGGGAAGAAAAAAAUGACGGUACCAACAGAAGAAGUGACGGCUAAAUACGUG
RNAcentral lists this ribosomal RNA (454 nucleotides) under uncultured bacterium. RNAcentral describes it as "partial 16S ribosomal RNA". It matches the Rfam family "Bacterial small subunit ribosomal RNA", at positions 28 to 507 of the family's 1533-position model. The record is from RNAcentral.